Molecule: ribosomal RNA, 465 nt
Filed under: uncultured bacterium
Lineage: Bacteria
Description: bacterial SSU rRNA
Rfam family: Bacterial small subunit ribosomal RNA
Source: RNAcentral
GCCAGACUCCUACGGGAGGCAGCAGUGAGGAAUAUUGGUCAAUGGUCGGGAGACUGAACCAGCCAAGCCGCGUGAGGGAGGAAGGUACAGAGUAUCGUAAACCUCUUUUGUCAGGGAACAAAGACUGGGACGCGUCCCCGGAUGAGUGUACCUGAAGAAAAAGCAUCGGCUAACUCCGUGCCAGCAGCCGCGGUAAUACGGAGGAUGCGAGCGUUAUCCGGAUUUAUUGGGUUUAAAGGGUGCGCAGGCGGCGUUGUAAGGACGGCGCUAAAGGCCGGGGCCCCACCCCGGGCCCGCCGUUGAAACUGGCAGUCUCGAGUUGGAGAGAAGUAUGCGGAAUGCGCGGUGUAGCGGUGAAAUGCAUAGAUAUCGCGCAGAACUCCGAUUGCGAAGGCAGCAUGCCGGCUCCACACUGACGCUGAGGCACGAAAGCGUGGGUAUCGAACAGGAUUAGAUACCCCAGUA